GUAUUCCAAUAAAGGCCUUGCGGCACAAUCACGUUCAAUAUUGUAAAGGUAGUGUAUAUGAAAGGAGGGAAAAACCCUAAGAAAAACACCAACAAUAGGCGAUUAAACUCAGAGACCCUCUCUCCCCCCGAAAUGUGCACAAGUGGUGUUUGGGUAAAGAUUGUUAGGAGCGAGCACAUACAGCCAAGCUGCCAGCAUCAACUCCGAUUACAAUUCAUUAAUGAUCCUUCCGCAGGUUCACCUACGGAAA
This 250-nucleotide unclassified non-coding RNA is filed under the name uncultured fungus. RNAcentral's name for it is "sequence contains ITS1". The record is from RNAcentral. Lineage: Eukaryota; Fungi.